This 2442-nucleotide long non-coding RNA is filed under the name Amazona collaria (yellow-billed parrot). Its description in RNAcentral is "lncRNA (ENSACOG00000015165.1)". The record is from RNAcentral. Lineage: Eukaryota; Metazoa; Chordata; Aves; Psittaciformes; Psittacidae.
AGAGGACGUCAAGUAAAAAGGGAGGUUUCAUAAUAGUUACGCUGCCUGGGCCACAAGCAUCCAGCAGCGUGUCUGCAGUGAUGAAUAAAACUGUUCCUCCUGAGGAAAAUCUGUGCUUGAUGCUUUUUACAGGUUCCUCAGGGGAAGCUGCUCCUGAUCCGUGUUGGAACCGAGUAGCAUGAUCUGGAAAAAGCUGCACAUAAGUUACACUGUGGAAGUUCUGAUACUUGGGGGAAGCAGAUGGAAACCUCUGCGGAAGGGGCUGUACCUGGAAUCCUGUUGCUUGUGUACACACUCCUUGUUGGCUAGUGGAGGACAUGGGAUGUGGCUGAGUAAACAGACUGUCUCACAAGAGCACUUGCCUGCUUUGGGCACCAAGCUGCCUUCUGAGUCUCAGGAGAUGAUGCCACAGCAUCAUUCUGAAUCCAGGAGCAUAGUACAGUUAUAUUCAUGAGGUGGCUCAGCUCCUGGUCUAGGAGAUGGAGUGGUCUUGUGUUGAAGUUGAAAGAGCCCAGAGCCGAAUGCUUCCAAAGUCUUGAAGCAGUUUGAAGCUGAAUUUUACACACAGGAGCACUGUGUUUAGCUGUAGGUAGGAAAAAAAGCACCCCUAAAAGCAAACCAUGCAGAGUGCCCAGCUGGUUUAGAUGGGGGCAGAGGAAGAGGGAAAAGCAAAGGAUUUACUGUUCUAAUGAGGCAGAAACUCCUCGUUCAGCUCUGAUCAGAACCCUUCUGUGUUUCCAGUUGGCAACUCAGUCAAGAGUGGGAGUUGAAAGCCCAUUUCCCAGCCCACCAGCUGCGUUGUGUCAUAAAAGGCAAAGCAGAUCAUAGCGUAUGCAGCUCUCGUAGUGGAGCCCAAAUUUGGGGUGGUGCAGAAUGCUAAGUCCCGUGUUUCUUAACGGAGCCAGCGUGGGCUGCAUGGCUUAGGGUGUUGAUGUACAAAUGAUGUUUCUUUGUCACCCCUGACCGUGGAAGAACCUGAAUGAGUGAGAUGGGGUUUUGGAAGGCUUCUCUGCAAGAAAACAAGUGAUAAGGGGUUUAGCACCUCUGGGAGCAAUGGGGCCACCUCUGGUAGGGGGAAAGGGGCAGUUGUUUCGAGGUGAGCAAGAACACAAAGUGAUUCGAGGCUGGAACUUACCAUGGCUGAAAAUGAGAAAGCAGAAUGCUCCCUGUGUUACCAUCCUGUCAUUACCCAAGCAGAUGCUUACUUAAAGGGAAAGAUGAAACCCUGUAUUUCAAGUUGAUGGGGGAAUUCCUGUGGGUCCUUAAAAUUCACCAUUAGCUGCCUCAUUAGUUUCUUGCUUCCUCCAAACUGCCCCCCUUGCCCUGCCACUGUUCAUCUGCAGGAGCACAGCAGUCCUGGCUCUAGCUUCAGUGCUUCAAUAUAAACUUUAAAGAGUGCAGCUGCGUCUCUCUCAGCCUUCCCAGUUCCCCAUGGGGUUCUCCUAUUCUGCUCACGUCCAACCUGGCUUUCCUUGCACGUAAUUCCUUGCUCUUCUCAUUAGCAAACCUCAGAGUGCUUCACAUCGGCUCUUCCCGGCCUCCUGAUGGGCACUCCGGAGGAUGGGGAGGUUUGGCAAAGCAAAGUGACUUUCCAAAGGUUGGUGCCACAGCACCCUGUCCUGUGGGAGGACAUCAGCAUCACAAGGGAAAAGGCAGGAUCUUAGGAAAGGGGGUGUUUCUUCACCCCAGCUCCAAGUGUGUUCUGGGGUGUCACUCACUCCCACGCUCCCAAGCAUGAGUUUGGCUUGUCUGGCAACGGGGGUGUGACCCGGGAUGAAGGACACAGUCAUCACCACAUCCCUGCUGUUUGUCUCAUAGUCUUCCUGACUUCCGAUGAUGAAUAGAUUGGGGCAGUAUUUGGCUUCGCUAGGAGCGGCCCUUUGCUAUUCUGGUAGCAGGAAAAGGAAGAGAGCUGGCACACAAGAUGCACUGCAGCCUUGCUGCAUCCUCCUGGUGGCAGAGGGGGGUCUUUUCCUGGCAAGUGGUUCCUGCAGCCUUGUUGAUAUUGGGGCAGGACUUUCUGGCCUCCGCCUUUUUCUGUUUAGUGACUGGGAGCGGUAGUUCUUUGUUAUCUGUCUCUGUACCCUUGCCUGCUGUUUGCUUCUUCAGUGCACGUUACCUGCAUUCUUCUUUGCCUCGUAUCAACCUUAAUAUUCCUCUUGCAUAUGUGGGAUAAGUUUUUUGCAAGCCUUUGGCCAGCUGCACUUUUGCUGAAGAGCCUCAAUGUGAGCAAAGCCAUCAGACUCCCACCUUCCCCUUACAGAAGAAGGGGGGCAAUAAGACAGAAGGACCAAAACCCCCAGCAAACCCUGCACAAACCCAGGUGCUGAGGAGCUUGGGGUCCUUUAUAAGGCGGUUGUAGGAGGAGUCCCGCCCCUCUGCCCCCAUCUAUUGGCUCGGAGCGGCAGCGCUGCAGUUGCCAGGCUCGCAAGCCGCGGCUCG